RNAcentral lists this ribosomal RNA (301 nucleotides) under uncultured bacterium. RNAcentral's name for it is "partial 16S ribosomal RNA". It matches the Rfam family "Bacterial small subunit ribosomal RNA", at positions 509 to 807 of the family's 1533-position model. The record is from RNAcentral.
CAGUCGCCGCGGGAAUACGAAGGGGGCUAGCGUUGUUCGGAAUCACUGGGCGUAAAGAGCACGUAGGCGGAUCUUUAAGUCAGAGGUGAAAUCCCGAGGCUCAACCUCGGAACUGCCUUUGAUACUGGGGAUCUCGAGUCCGGGAGAGGUGAGUGGAACUGCGAGUGUAGAGGUGAAAUUCGUAGAUAUUCGCAAGAACACCAGUGGCGAAUGCGGCUCACUGGCCCGGAACUGACGCUGAGGUGCGAAAGCGUGGGGAGCAAACAGGAUUAGAUACCCCAGUAGUCCCUGUCUCUUAUAC